AGAACUUAGCAGAGAUGCUUUGGUGCCUUCGGGAACUCUGAGACAGGUGCUGCAUGGCUGUCGUCAGCUCGUGUUGUGAAAUGUUGGGUUAAGUCCCGCAACGAGCGCAACCCUUAUCCUUUGUUGCCAGCGGUUAGGCCGGGAACUCAAAGGAGACUGCCAGUGAUAAACUGGAGGAAGGUGGGGAUGACGUCAAGUCAUCAUGGCCCUUACGAGUAGGGCUACACACGUGCUACAAUGGCGCAUACAAAGAGAAGCGACCUCGCGAGAGCAAGCGGACCUCAUAAGGUGCGUCGUAGUCCGGAUUGGAGUCUGCAACUCGACUCCAUGAAGUCGGAAUCGCUAGUAAUCGUGGAUCAGAAUGCCACGGUGAAUACGUUCCCGGGCCUUGUACACACCGCCCGUCACACCAUGGGAGUGGGUUGCAAAAGAAGUAGGUAGCUUAACCUUCGGGAGGGCGCUUACCACUUUGUGAUUCAUGACUGGGGUGAAGUCGUAACAAGGUAAGCGUAGUGCU
Molecule: ribosomal RNA, 517 nt
Filed under: uncultured bacterium
Lineage: Bacteria
Description: bacterial SSU rRNA
Rfam family: Bacterial small subunit ribosomal RNA
Source: RNAcentral